UUUCCCCUCUUUCCUUCCAUGCUUCUUUUUCAAUGGAACAAACACAUUCAUCCUCUAAUCCUCCAUCAUCAUUCUUCUUCCUCAAUCAUUGAAAGGUGGUAAAUUUUAUUCCCAUCUUGGAUUUGCAGGAAUAAGUUUAGAAUCAUUGAAACAAAGCCCCUCUCAUAAGAUCUAGGCUUACUCGGCGGCGGACACGAGGUUCAUUGUGUUGGACAGAACCAAAUCUGGGUUUGCGCCGCCUCAAUCCACCAUCUUGUCUCGCGACCUCCAAUGAACAGUAAUGCUCUGGUGAAACACCUUUGCGACGAGCAGUAACCACAAUCCCUUCAUAAGUAGCGACGGUACCUUCCCAUAAAACCAUCACCGGAGUUGUCCACGACUCCGGCGACGGUCGCAUCUUCCUCUUCCCAUGGUGACGCUGUUCAUAAAAGCUAAAGACUGCGGUGGUGGUUAUCGAAGAUGAAAAGAGCAAAGACUGGUUCACAGAUGAAUUUGUUUAUGGCUUGGUACUGCAAAUGUUUCUGUGAGUGGGAUUCAUUUUUUCUUAGUAUGUAUUUUGUGAAGAUGAAUGUAUGUGUGAAGUGUUGUAGAUGCAGACCUAGAAAUUGGAAUUUGGGAGAGGAGGAUGAAUUUUUUAUUCUGCAAAUUCUGGGCAGCAAAGAGAUGAAUGAUUUUUUUAUUAAUAAACCUCUUUUUUUUUAAAGAUUAAUAAAAUUUGAUUGAUUUAUUUUAAUUACAAUUUUUUUUUUAUGUUUUUUAAAAAUGUUUAUUAAAUUAGUUAAUUGAAAUAAAUGCCACGUGGAUGGCAAGUGGACAAAGUGAUAUGGUAAGCUAACGACAAGUAUGCAAAAAUGCGCUAAAUCAUCAUGAAAGUGGGGCCAUAGACUAUUUUAAAAAGCAAAAAAAUUUGGAGAGAUGGGUUUAAUUAUUUUUUUUUAUACCAAGCACCAAAAUCCAAACUCGCUAUAUUUGCAGGGAUUAAAAACAUAUUUUAGCCUAGUUUUUUAGUAAGAGAAACUCAAACUUCUCUCCUAGAAU
RNAcentral lists this long non-coding RNA (1038 nucleotides) under Medicago truncatula (barrel medic). Its description in RNAcentral is "lncRNA gene25441". Lineage: Eukaryota; Viridiplantae; Streptophyta; Magnoliopsida; Fabales; Fabaceae. The record is from RNAcentral.